UCUCCGUUGGUGAACCAGCGGAGGGAUCAUUACCGAGUUUACAACUCCCAAACGCAAUGUGUACCAUACCAAACUGUUGCCUCGGCGGGGUCACGCCCCGGGUGCGUCGCAGCCCCGGAACCAGGCGCCCGCCGGAGGGACCAACCAAACUCUUUCUGUAGUCCCCUCGCGGACGUUAUUUUUACAGCUCUGAGCAAAAAUUCAAAAUGAAUCGAAACUUUCAACAACGGAUCUCUUGGUUCUG
This 244-nucleotide unclassified non-coding RNA is filed under the name plant metagenome. RNAcentral describes it as "partial contains small subunit ribosomal RNA, internal transcribed spacer 1, and 5.8S ribosomal RNA". The record is from RNAcentral.